UAAGGUUGUUUACAAAUAACGACGUGAAACGUGAUAUAAGAAGCUAGAUAAAUAUAUUUAUUUAUGAUAAUGAUACACAGUUAUUUAAAAAUUCAUUAAUAUUGUUGAUAUUUGACAUUCAGUUGUAGGUUUUCAUCGUUAAUGGAAUUAAUUUAGCGACGGUGUCCAAUAUGAUUUUUGCCCUGCAAAAAUAUCCUAACCAUAUAAAAUGAAUGACUAUUAUGACAGUUGGAAGUAUGGGGCUUUGAGAAUAUUCGAAUCAUUGAACAGUUCCAAUUAAAAUACUGUCUGAAUGAUGACGACCCCAGAGACAGACCUAGAUGUUGAGUUAAAGAUAAUGGCAGACGGAACAGUAUUGGAACAGAACAACACAGCCAAUGGCAUCGCUGGAGAGACUCCAGAAACACCAAGAAAAUGUCUGGCACUUCGCACAGCCUGUCACAGCUGUACUAAGCCAUUACGAACAAAGUACAAUCCCCUAGCAAGUGAUGCAACAAUGGGAGAGAAAUUUAAAUACACGUUCAUGUGCCCACCUCAUGGGAGAAUAGCAAAAUAUAUCAUGUUUGUAGUGAUGUUCUUUGUGUCCUGGGCGGUUCUGAUGUCAUUAACUGGAUCUGGAGGUCUCCCAGGUGGAAAUUUCUUCUCACUGGUUAUCAUGUUCUUUGCCUGUGUAGUAGGAGGAUACCUCGUUGUCUACGUCAAACUACCACCUCUUUUAGGAAUGUUGAUCAUAGGAUGUUUGUUACGUAAUGUACCUGGUAUCAGCAUAGUAGGCACAAACUUAGAUAAAAGUUGGUCAUCAGCAUUAAGACAGAUAGCAUUAACUGUGAUUCUGAUACGUGCUGGUCUUGGUUUGGACCCACAAGCCUUGAUGAAGCUGUCCUGGGCUGUCCUUAGACUGGCUUUUUCACCCUGUCUGGCUGAGUGUCUCGCAGAGGCUGUUGCUGCACACUUCCUACUUGGGUUUCCAUGGAUCUGGGGUAUUAUGCUCGGGUUUGUGUUGGCAGCAGUAUCACCAGCUGUUGUGGUACCAUCACUUCUUGGUCUGUCAGAUAGGGGUUACGGAAUUGACAAGGGAAUUCCAACACUGGUUAUAGCUGCAGCAAGUGUAGAUGAUGUCCUGGCUAUCACAGGAUUCGGUGUAUCACUGGGAAUUGCUUUUUCUACAGGUGACCUAGCACUAUCUAUAGUAAAGGGUCCUUUGGAGGCAAUAGCUGGUGUAGUAUAUGGUAUUGUGGGUGGAAUUCUUAUCUGGUAUAUACCAAACAGGGCUAGUCGACAUGUUGUGCUGUACCGUGCAUUCCUCUUGUUUGGUUUGGGACUGAUGGCAACAUUUGGCAGUAAUGCACUGCAUUUGUCAGGGGCUGGUCCCCUGGGCUGUCUUACUCUAGCUUUUGUCGCUGGAUUCAAGUGGAAAAAGGAAGAUUGGUCAGCUGAGGGUGGGGAACCAAUGAAAGAAAUAGUGUCUAUACUGUGGAUGAUAUUCCAGCCAUUGUUGUUUGGUCUGAUUGGUGCUGAAAUUGAUGUUCUAAAAAUAGACGUGGGAACAGUAGGUUUAGGUCUUGCCACUCUGGGUAUUGGACUUGUCAUCCGAUUGAUUGUGUCAUUUUUCGCAGUGUUUGGAACUGAUCUCAACAUUCGAGAAAGACUUUUCAUUCCUUUAGCGUGGUUCCCCAAAGCCACUGUACAGGCUGCUAUAGGAGCAGUAGCACUGGACACGGCACGUAAGAUGGACAGUGAGGAGGGUGAAGAAUUCGGCAAACAGAUUCUCACGUUAGCGGUACUAAGUAUAAUCAUCACAGCUCCAAUUGGUGCUGCAGCCAUAGCCAUAGCGGGACCAUUACUGUUACAGCAGUCAGACAGGGCCACCGAGACAGUUUACACAGUAGAUGAUGAUCAAGUUGAAGAACAAGGGAGUAUUUCAGUAAUUACCAGUUGAAACAAGUAAACUUCUACAAGAAAAGAAUGAGAAGGAAGAUGUCUGAGGACAAACAGGAAAGACUGAGCAAUGAAGAGUUUCUAGUCAAGUUAAGGUGAAGGCAGCAUCUACAAAAAUCAUAUUUACAAAGGAGCAUCUCUGUUAUGGACUUUUUUCAGCUGACAUAAACAAGAGGACUGUGAUCUCAUUUUAUUCAGUUGGCUGGUUAUGUCCCCAGACUUUCCAGUUUUUAUAUUCAAGUAAAGAAGAUAUAUUUUUAUUGGAUGAUAAUUACUGUAUCAGUUUAAAUUCUAGGUUACUAGAAUACAGGAUUUUUUUUAUUGGCAGUAAUCUGGGCAUUUUUUGUAUUUAUAUAUUUAUAAAAUUAUUACAAAUAAUAUGAUUGUUAUGAAAAGAGAUGUAUUUCUUUGCAUGCACAAAAAGCUAUUCAUUGUGUUGAAACAGUGUGACUUGACUUUAUGAUAUCAUAUAUUUGUGAAACAGUCUCCACCAUUAAGCACAAUUAAUACUUGGCCAAAACUUCUUAUUUUUACAUUGUUGCCAUUUUACAUACAGUGUUCCAGUAAGGUAUGUAAAGAAAUAAAAAAAAGAUUCACAAAUAUGCAGAAUAGAUCUCAGUCAUAUCUCACUUACAAAAUGUCAGAUUUGAUAGAUAUUAUUUGAAAUUAUAUUUACGUAAUCUGACAUGUAGCAGAUGAUGCAGAAUCCCCUACUAUAGAGGCAUGCAGCUGUCUGUACAUACAGUACCUUAUACUGUACCAUAUAAAUGUCCCCUACCCAAACCAAUUUGAAAAAAAAAAAAUUUACUUUCCUUCCGACUUUUUAUGCCCCCGAAGGGAGGCAUAUAGUUUUUGAACCGUUUGUCCGUCUGUUGGUCUGUCAGUCUGUCCGCAAUUUUCGUGUCCGGUCCAUAUCUUUGUCAUCGAUGGAUGGAUUUUCAAAUAACUUGGCAUGAAUGUGUACCACAGUAAGACGACGUGUCGCGCGCAAGACCCAGGUCCGUAGCUCAAAGGUCAAGGUCACACUGAGACAUUUAAGGAUAGUGCAUUGAUGGGUGUGUCCGGUCCAUAUCUUUGUCAUCGAUGGAUGGAUUUUCAAAUAACUUGGCAUGAAUAUGUACCACAGUAAGACGACGUGUCACGCGCAAGACCAAGGUCCGUAGCUCAAAGGUUAAGGUCACACUUAGACAUUAAAGGAUAGUGCAUUGAUGGGCGUGUCCGGUCCAUAUCUUUGUCAUCAAUGGAUGGAUUUUCAAAUCACAUGGCAUGAAUGUGUACCACAGUAAGAUGACGUGUCGCGCGCAAGACCCAGGUCCAUAGCUCAAAGGUCAAGGUCACAUUUAGACAUUAACGGAUAGUGCAUUGAUGGGCGUGUCUGGUCCAUAUCUUUGUCAUCGAUGGAUGGAUUUUCAAAUAACUUGGCAUGAAUGUGUACCACAGUAAGACAAUGUGUCACGCGCAAGACCAAGGUCCGUAGCUCAAAGGUCAAGGUCACACUUAGACAUUUAAAUAGUGCAUUGAUGGGCGUGCCCGGUCCAUAUCUCUGUCAUCCAUGGAUGGAUUUUCAAAUAACUUGGCAUGAAUGUGUACCACAGUAAGACGACGUGUCGCACGCAAGACCCAGGUCCGUAGCUCAAAGGUCAAGGUCACACUUAGACGUUAAAGGUCAUUUUUCAUGAUAGUGCAUUGAUUGGUGUGUCCGGGUCAUAUCUUUGUCAUUCAUGCAUGGAUUUUAAAAUAACUACGCAUGAAUGUGUGACACAAUAAGACGGAGUGUCGCGCGCAAGACCCAGUUCCGUAGGUCAAAGGUCCUAAACUCUAACAUCGGCCAUAACUAUAUAUUCAUUCAAAGUGCCAUCGGGGGCAUGUGUCAUCCUAUGGAGACAGCUCUUGUUUAUUUCAAAGAUAAAUCAAUAACAAUCACACUGUAAACCUUAAUAAACUUUAUCACAUGUUUGACGUUGCGGGAGUGUAAUAAAGCCAUUAAAUAAAAAUGAUAAUACACUAGUGUAAUAAAGCUUUGGCGUCGACAUCAUUUAUAGCGUUGGAGACAUUGGUCAAAUUGACUUGUUCAAUAGUAAAAGAAAGUAGAAUGUAUGAGUUUUCGACAGGAAAAGCUAACAUGUGAUAAACAGAAUAUUACAUUUGUGACUUUCCACAUUGAAUUUAUUAAACUCGUUGAAUAAAAUUGAUAAAAUGCUCGGCAGAGCCUCGCAUUUUAUUAUUUUAUUCGACUCGUUUAAUAAAUUCAAUAUGAAAAGACACUCAUGUAAUAUCCUCUAUAAAAAUAACAACUCCCUCUGUUCUGGGGCAUUUAAAUUAGGGUAUACAGCAUUUUUUCAAUUUGAUUGUGACAACUCUAUAUUUUAACUGGAAUGCAACAAGAUUUCAGUCAUUUUUUAUCCCCCCGCCAAAGGCGAAGGGGAUAUUAGAAAUGCUCUCCGUCCGUGCGUGCGUGCGUGCGUCCGUCCGCAACGAUCUUUGUCCGGAGCAUAACUCUAAAAGUACUGGAGGGAUUUUCUUCAAACUUUAUACACUGAUAGAACACAUUGGGAGGAAGUGCAGUGUGCAAGAACAAUAACUCUACCUUGCCUAUUUUUUGAGUUAUUCCCCUUUAUCAUAUUUUCUUUAAAAAAAUUGUCCGGAGCAUAACUCCAAAAGUACUGGAGGGAUUUUCUUCAAACUUCAUACACUGAUAAAACACAUUGGGAGGAAGUGCAGUGUGCAAGAACAAUAACUCUACCUUGCCUAUUUUUUGAGUUAUUCCCCUUUAUCCUAUUUUCUUAAAACAUUUUGUCCGGAGCAUAACUCCAAAAGUACUGGAGGGAUUUUCUUCAAACUUCAUACACUGAUAGAACACAUUGGGAGGAAGUGCAGUGUGCAAGAACAAUAACUCUGCCUGGCCUAUUUUUGAGUUAUUCCCCUUUAUCAUAUUUUCUUAAAACAUUGUGUCCGGAGCAUAACCCUAAAAGUACUGGAGGGAUUUUCUUCAAACUUCAUACACUGAUAGAACACAUUGGGAGGAUGUGCAGUGUGCAAGAACAAUAACUCUAACUUGCCUAUUUUUUGAGUUAUUCCCCUUUAUCAUAUUUUCUUAAAACAAUUUGUCCGGAGCAUGUCUUCUUCAUGCAUGGAGGGAUUUUGAUAUACAUGUAUCUUGGCACAAAUGUUUACCACCACGAGAUGGAGUGUCAUGCGCAAGAACCAGGUCCCUAGGUCUAAGGUCAAGGUCACACUUAGAGGUCAAAGGAUACAAGAAUGAAAACCUUGUCCAGAGCAUUUCUUCUUCAUGCAUAGAGGGAUUUUGAUAUAACUUGGCACAGAUGUUCACCACCAAGAGACGGAGUGUCAUGCGCAAGAUCCAGGUCACUAGGUCUUAGGUCAAGGUCACAGUUAGAGGCCAAAGGUCAGAUACAAGAAUGACUUUGUCCGAAGCAUUUCUUCUUCAUGCAUGGAGGGAUUUUGAUGUUACUUGGCACAAUUAAUUAUACACCAUCAUGAGACAAAUUGUCAUGCGCAGUUCCCUUCUUUAGAAUUACUUCCCUUUGUUGUACUAUAAAUAGCUUUUAUUGUAACUUUUUCAUUACUAGUCGUAGGGAAAAAUCGAGACCACUUUUCUGUAGUACAACAUGCAUGCUAUAUCCACAUUUGAGGUGUAUUUUGACCAAUUUCUACCUGAUAAAGAUUUUUGUGUGGACUUGCAUAUUUUUUUUUUUUUUUUUUUUAAGAUUAACUUUAAAACCCCUGUUACGGACCACAACUAAACGGUUCUUCAAAGCUUUCCCCAAAAUUAAUACUUGCCAGGAACUUUAGCCUUCAAUUAUAAUAUGCCCGGCGGGAGGAUUAGCCAUGUUUAACAUGGCUCUUGUUCUUCAAAAUUUAGAAUAACUAGCAUUUUUUACUGAUUGUUAAUAGAAAGAUUUAGCAAUAUAUGUAGGUUUUUAUAGACUGUUUAACAACGGAUAAAAAUUCAGAUGAGCAGGAAAUUAAAAUUAGGUGUUAAUUAGCCGGAGUGGUUAAAUAUCCAAGAAUUUUAACAAUGAACUGUGGUAAAUCAAGACAAUAAACCUUAAAAAGUCAUUGUUUAUUUUCAUUCUGACAUGCACAUUGUGAAAUGAAUAUAGAAAUUGUGCUUCCUUCGUAUUCAGGUAGUAAUGAAUUAUGCUUCCUUCAUGUGGCUAUUUGAAUUUGUCAUAAUUUAUGUCAUACUGUUCUCUCUCUGGUCCAUGCAUCAAACUUUGUUUAUUGCAUCAAACUUUGUUUAUUGCAGGAUAUACGUUUGACUUCCUUCUUUGUUUAAAAUCGACCCAUGUUAGAAUGUAAAAUAGAAGGAAUUCAACAGCUUUAUGCACUAUUUAUAGAUUAUCAUAUCAACAUACCUCCUGUGAUAUCAUUACAUUUUGUCCACAUGAAAUUUAAUUAUAUGAAAAGUUUUCAGAUCAUCUAGAAUGCGUAUUGGUUAACAACUGUGUUUCCUUGUAGUGAUUGUUGUUUAAAAGACAUAUGUUAACCUAUGUUUAACUAUUCAUUUUAUAAAACUGAGUUCUUUUGUAAAUAGAUUUUGAUUUUAAUUUGAUAUGUCAAUAAAACAUACCA
RNA transcript from Mercenaria mercenaria, 6534 nucleotides. It is a transcript of the gene named sodium/hydrogen exchanger 9B2-like, with no coding region annotated. The transcript is spliced from 13 exons. The record is from RefSeq and is a predicted model, not a curated record. NCBI's taxonomy places the organism in Eukaryota, Metazoa, Mollusca, Bivalvia, Venerida, Veneridae.